GACGAACGCUGGCGGCGUGCUUAACACAUGCAAGUCGAACGGAAAGGCCCUGCUUUUGUGGGGUGCUCGAGUGGCGAACGGGUGAGUAACACGUGAGUAACCUGCCCUUGACUUUGGGAUAACUUCAGGAAACUGGUGCUAAUACCGGAUAGGAGCUCCUGCUGCAUGGUGGGGGUUGGAAAGUUUCGGCGGUUGGGGAUGGACUCGCGGCUUAUCAGCUUGUUGGUGGGGUAGUGGCUUACCAAGGCUUUGACGGGUAGCCGGCCUGAGAGGGUGACCGGCCACAUUGGGACUGAGAUAGGGCGCAGACUCGUACGGGAGGCAGCAGUGGGGAAUAUUGCACAAUGGGCGGGAGCCUGAUGCAGCAACGCCGCGUGCGGGAUGACGGCCUUCGGGUUGUAAACCGCUUUCGCCUGUGACGAAGCGUGAGUGACGGUAAUGGGUAAAGAAGCACCGGCUAACUACGUG
Molecule: ribosomal RNA, 468 nt
Filed under: uncultured bacterium
Lineage: Bacteria
Description: partial 16S ribosomal RNA
Rfam family: Bacterial small subunit ribosomal RNA
Source: RNAcentral